GCAGGCUUAAUACAUGCAAGUCGAGCGGGCGUAGCAAUACGUCAGCGGCAGACGGGUGAGUAACGCGUGGGAACGUGCCCUUUGGUUCGGAACAACACAGGGAAACUUGUGCUAAUACCGGAUAAGCCCUUACGGGGAAAGAUUUAUCGCCGAAGGAUCGGCCCGCGUCUGAUUAGCUAGUUGGUGAGGUAAUGGCUCACCAAGGCGACGAUCAGUAGCUGGUCUGAGAGGAUGAUCAGCCACACUGGGACUGAGACACGGCCCAGACUCCUACGGGAGGCAGCAGUAGGGAAUAUUGGACAAUGGGGGCAACCCUGAUCCAGCCAUGCCGCGUGAGUGAUGAAGGCCUUAGGGUUGUAAAGCUCUUUUGUGCGGGAAGAUAAUGACGGUACCGCAAGAAUAAGCCCCGGCUAGCUUCGUGCCAGCAGCCGCGGUAAUACGAAGGGGGCUAGCGUUGCUCGGAAUCACUGGGCGUAAAGCGCACGUAGGCGGACUCUUAAGUCGGGGGUGAAAUCCUGGAGCUCAACUCCAGAACUGCCUUCGAUACUGAGAGUCUUGAGUUCGGGAGAGGUGAGUGGAACUGCGAGUGUAGAGGUGAAAUUCGUAGAUA
RNAcentral lists this ribosomal RNA (610 nucleotides) under uncultured Afipia sp. Its description in RNAcentral is "bacterial SSU rRNA". It matches the Rfam family "Bacterial small subunit ribosomal RNA", at positions 42 to 696 of the family's 1533-position model. The record is from RNAcentral. Lineage: Bacteria; Pseudomonadati; Pseudomonadota; Alphaproteobacteria; Hyphomicrobiales; Nitrobacteraceae.